GUUUCUUUUUUGUCAAUGACCAAUUGUAAAUCAAUAAAUUUCGAAUUUUUAAAUAUACGAACUGUUUGCUUUUCUGAAAUGAAAUAGCUGCUCAUUUGUUGGAACCGCCGAUAUCAGACAAAUAUAGCAACUCUCUGCCAAGCAAAUUCAACGAUCAAAAUCCAGUUCGCUUAUGGAAAACUUUUUCAUUUGAAAAGAUAUGUUUACGAAAUUUUGCAUAGAUUACAGCCCAAUGCAACUCUACAAUCUCCACAGAAAUUGUUCAGAUCGGAACAUUACAGCUUUUAGCUGCCAUACAAACUGACCGAUCGAAAUGCAAUCUUGUAAGGAAACUUUCUUAUAUUAUAUGUGAAGGGUAUUCUAACUUCGGUGCAUUCGAAGUUAGCGUUUAUAUAAAUUUAUUGUUCCAGAAAAAAGUUUACAAAAUAAUUUAAACUGCAUGUAUUAUUCAUAACAAUUUGUUUAUUUAUUUAUAAACAAGUAAGUUAAUAUAUAAGAUAAACACAUUUAAACAGCAAGUUCAUAUAUUUGUUUAUGCAAGACAUGUCUGCAGUUUAAAGCCUUUGCCCCUAAGCAAGAGUUUAUUUAUAUAAUAUAAUCAUUAAUGAAUCGAGCAACUGUACAAAGGAACUUGAGAGUUCCCAGCUACGUAUCUUAAAAUAAA
Molecule: long non-coding RNA, 664 nt
Organism: Bactrocera oleae (olive fruit fly)
Lineage: Eukaryota; Metazoa; Arthropoda; Insecta; Diptera; Tephritidae
Source: RefSeq, a predicted model, not a curated record